This 469-nucleotide ribosomal RNA is filed under the name uncultured bacterium. RNAcentral's name for it is "partial 16S ribosomal RNA". It matches the Rfam family "Bacterial small subunit ribosomal RNA", at positions 28 to 507 of the family's 1533-position model. The record is from RNAcentral.
GACGAACGCUGGCGGCGUGCUUAACACAUGCAAGUCGAACGGUGAAGCGAGUGCUUGCACUCGUGGAUCAGUGGCGAACGGGUGAGUAACACGUGAGUAACCUGCCCAUCACUCUGGGAUAAGCACUGGAAACGGUGUCUAAUACUGGAUACGACCAACCCUUGCCUGGGGUGUUUUUGGAAAUAUUUAUCGGUGAUGGAUGGACUCGCGGCCUAUCAGCUUGUUGGCGGGGUAAUGGCCCACCAAGGCUACGACGGGUAGCCGGCCUGAGAGGGUGACCGGACACACUGGGACUGAGACACGGACCAGACUGCUACGGGAGGCAGCAGUGGGGAAUAGUGCACAAUGGGCGAAAGCCUGAUGCAGCGACGACGCGUGAGGGAUGACGGCCUUCGGGUUGUAAAACUCUUUCAGCAGGGAAGAAGAGAAAGUGACGGUAACUGAAGAAGAAGCAACGGCUAACUACGUG